Molecule: RNA transcript, 691 nt
Organism: Fragaria vesca subsp. vesca
Lineage: Eukaryota; Viridiplantae; Streptophyta; Magnoliopsida; Rosales; Rosaceae
Exons: 2
Source: RefSeq, a predicted model, not a curated record
GUGCGCGUUCUGUCCACCCUAACAAAAUAGAGGAAGCUUUGUUGGAGUGUUGAAGCUGGAGUUGGAGACUUGCGGGGCUCACAGAUUUUGGGUAUAGCAAAAACUGGGUCUGAGAGAAAAAGAGAGGAGAUGGGGAUAGUGGCGAAGGCAGGUGAUUGGGCGUUCAAGGCAUUCACGGCGGGGCUGGGAGUCACCACCAUCUACCUCACCGGCACUUUCUCUUUAAAUGUCUACAGAGGCAUCGCUUGGCACAAAGCUCAACCGAAAAUUGAGUAUGAGGAUGAACAAGCCUCAUAAUUAUGAGCCUUCCAGCUGGUUGGGAUUCUAUUCUCUGGGAAUGUUGCAGCACUGAUUUGUUCUUAUACGUUUUAUAUGUGUUGAUCUUGGACCCGUUGGCUUUACUAGCCGGUUGUUAUGCGGAGCUUGUGUGAUAUGGAUAUGGCAUAUUGAAAUACUUCUCUAGCUCCAAUUUACAGUUGAGAUCAUAUUAUUCAAUGUUAUUCAAUGUUGCAAUAGUAAAAGCAAAGUGUUUAAACAUCACUGUGCAUCUUAGUAACUUUCCAGAAAUGAACUCAUUGUAUCGAUUUGAUUCCCAUCGUGAUCAGCUUUUUGGUUGGAACCCUUGUGAGAUCUUGCAAAUGUGUUCUUGUUUCUCCAUGUUUAUGUAAUAACACAACCAAAGGAUUCGAAU